CGGGCUGCCUCCGCAUGGACCUACACGGCAGCGACGGCGACGCGCCCGUGGCUGAUGCCUUACCCGGUCUGUCUGGACGAAAGCGCAUCCGCAGUUUUGAAGAUAUAAGCAAACAGUUUGUGUACUGAAACCAAGAGUCUUUGCGGGAUACUCAUGACCACAUUAUUAACUACAAUAAUUUCAUGUAGGCUAUUAAUUAGCUACAAAGUACAAUACUAGUAUGCAG
RNAcentral lists this long non-coding RNA (226 nucleotides) under Struthio camelus australis. RNAcentral's name for it is "lncRNA (ENSSCUG00000004472.1)". The record is from RNAcentral. Lineage: Eukaryota; Metazoa; Chordata; Aves; Struthioniformes; Struthionidae.